RNAcentral lists this ribosomal RNA (429 nucleotides) under Pseudomonadota bacterium. RNAcentral describes it as "Proteobacteria bacterium partial 16S ribosomal RNA". It matches the Rfam family "Bacterial small subunit ribosomal RNA", at positions 355 to 776 of the family's 1533-position model. Lineage: Bacteria; Pseudomonadati; Pseudomonadota. The record is from RNAcentral.
UGGGGAAUAUUGGACAAUGGGGGGAACCCUGAUCCAGCCAUGCCGCGUGUGUGAAGAAGGCCUUAUGGUUGUAAAGCACUUUAAGCGAGGAGGAGGGUACUGGUAUUAAUACUACCAGGUACUGGACGUUACUCGCAGAAUAAGCACCGGCUAACUCUGUGCCAGCAGCCGCGUAAUACAGAGGGUGCGAGCGUUAAUCGGAUUUACUGGGCGUAAAGCGUGCGUAGGCGGCUAAUUGAGUCGGAUGUGAAAUCCCCGAGCUUAACUUGGGAAUUGCAUUCGAUACUGGUUAGCUAGAGUGUGGGAGAGGAUGGUAGAAUUCCAGGUGUAGCGGUGAAAUGCGUAGAGAUCUGGAGGAAUACCGAUGGCGAAGGCAGCCAUCUGGCCUAACACUGACGCUGAGGUACGAAAGCAUGGGGAGCAAACAGG